AUGACCAUAUCCAGGGUCAUCUCUCUCCUUCCCAAUGCCAUCUUCACGGAGGAUACAGACAGGCAUGCAGAAGUAACUAGACGUCCAACACAUGGCAAAGUCUUGCGGGCCCAGGAUUUCAAACAAAAGAAAACUCGGACAGGAGUGCUCUGCCCACCUGGACUGAGGGAACAGCCCUGGCAAAGUCUCAAGACAGGUCAAGAAACUGGGGAAGGCAAUCAGCUCUUGCAUCGUCCACAUUGUUUCUGGAGCACAGCCUGGCUGAUCCUGGGGCUAGAGCUCAGAACCAGAUCCAGCUUAGAAAUAAUGUUUCACUCAAGAUAA
Molecule: long non-coding RNA, 324 nt
Filed under: Bos grunniens (domestic yak)
Lineage: Eukaryota; Metazoa; Chordata; Mammalia; Artiodactyla; Bovidae
Description: lncRNA (ENSBGRG00000001806.1)
Source: RNAcentral